This 253-nucleotide ribosomal RNA is filed under the name uncultured bacterium. Its description in RNAcentral is "partial 16S ribosomal RNA". It matches the Rfam family "Bacterial small subunit ribosomal RNA", at positions 524 to 776 of the family's 1533-position model. The record is from RNAcentral.
UACGUAGGGGGCAAGCGUUGUCCGGAAUCAUUGGGCGUAAAGAGCGUGUAGGCGGCCCGAUAAGUCCGCUGUGAAAGUCCAGGGCUCAACCCUGGGAUGCCGGUCGAUACUGCCGGACUAGAGUUCGGAAGAGGCGAGUGGAAUUCCCGGUGUAGCGGUGAAAUGCGCAGAUAUCGGGAGGAACACCUAUGGCGAAGGCAGCUCGCUGGGACGUUACUGACGCUGAGACGCGAAAGCGUGGGGAGCAAACAGG